ACAUCAUGAUAUGCACUAUCUUUUAUUUUAUUCUUCGUGUGAAGUUGUUCCGACUUCCAUCUACUAAGGGCAAUACGAAUUUUUGAUUACCUAUAUGGAAUGACAAGUUCAUUUCAUUUAUUACAGCAAUUUGUGGCUUGCCAAAACAGCAACACAUUUAUAGUUUGCUAAAUCAUGAUACGAUCUAUGACCACAGCUGCCCCAACCACAAUGAUACUACAUGUUAACUAUGGCCACAGUCGUACUUUGUCAAAGGUGACCCCUACAAUCAUAUCGCAUCACCACUCUCGUCAGAGGGUAUGCCGUCAUCCACAUGGAACGGUCCUCUUACAUCUUUUCAUACCAGAAGGAGGAGCAAUAAAAACCCCUCAGAGAUAAAAAGCCUAAUGAAACAUUUUGUGAAUUAUGCAUGUUAAUGCAAAUUCAUAUUUCUCAUGUAUAUACAUCAAUGUCAUUUUAAAUUUAUUUUUCCAUCAUCAAUUGCAU
Molecule: long non-coding RNA, 486 nt
Filed under: Carica papaya (papaya)
Lineage: Eukaryota; Viridiplantae; Streptophyta; Magnoliopsida; Brassicales; Caricaceae
Description: long non-coding RNA (CPAP_LNC005608)
Source: RNAcentral